RNAcentral lists this ribosomal RNA (562 nucleotides) under uncultured bacterium. RNAcentral describes it as "partial 16S ribosomal RNA". It matches the Rfam family "Bacterial small subunit ribosomal RNA", at positions 355 to 909 of the family's 1533-position model. The record is from RNAcentral.
UGGGGAAUAUUGGACAAUGGGCGCAAGCCUGAUCCAGCCAUGCCGCGUGUGUGAAGAAGGCCUUAGGGUUGUAAAGCACUUUCAGUGGGGAGGAAGGGUGUUGUGUUAAUAGCACGGCAUUUUGACGUUACCCACAGAAGAAGCACCGGCUAACUCCGUGCCAGCAGCCGCGGUAAUACGGAGGGUGCAAGCGUUAAUCGGAAUUACUGGGCGUAAAGCGCACGCAGGCGGCUUUUAAGUCGGAUGUGAAAGCCCCGGGCUCAACCUGGGAAUUGCAUCUGAUACUGGGAAGCUAGAGUAUGUGAGAGGGGGGUAGAAUUCCAAGUGUAGCGGUGAAAUGCGUAGAGAUUUGGAGGAAUACCAGUGGCGAAGGCGGCCCCCUGGCACAAUACUGACGCUCAGGUGCGAAAGCGUGGGGAGCAAAACAGGAUUAGAUACCCUGGUAGUCCACGCCGUAAACGAUGUCUACUAGAUGUUCGUGGUCUUGUACCGUGAGUAUCGCAGCUAACGCAUUAAGUAGACCGCCUGGGGAGUACGGUCGCAAGAUUAAAACUCAAAUGAA